RNAcentral lists this unclassified non-coding RNA (391 nucleotides) under soil metagenome. RNAcentral's name for it is "partial contains 5.8S ribosomal RNA, internal transcribed spacer 2, and large subunit ribosomal RNA". The stretch from base 1 to 122 matches the Rfam family "5.8S ribosomal RNA", at positions 35 to 154 of the family's 154-position model. The record is from RNAcentral.
GAUGAAGAACGUAGUGAAAUGCGAUACUUGGUGUGAAUUGCAGAAUCCCGUGAACCAUCGAGUCUUUGAACGCAAGUUGCGCCCGAAGCCACUAGGCCGAGGGCACGCCUACCUGGGCGUCACACGCCGUUGCCCCCCCAUCUACUCCUUCGGGAUUGCGGGGGGGCGGAUGAUGGCCUCCCGUGCGCCUAGCCGCGCGGUUGGCAUAAAUACCAAGUCCUCGGCGACGCACGCCACGACAAUCGGUGGUUGCGAAACCUCGGUUGCCCGUCGUGUGCGUUCGUCGCGCAUCGAGGGCUCGAAAAAAUGCUCGGCUCCGGCUGGGCUUUCAACGCGACCCCAGGUCAGGCGGGGUUACCCGCUGAAUUUAAGCAUAUCAAUAAGCGGAGGA